UAAAUACUCCCUCCGUCCCAACAUUCUUGUCUUAGAUUUGUCUACAUACGGAUGUAUCUAUUCACGUUUUAGUGUUAGAUACAUCCGUAUCUAGAUAAAUCUAAGACAAGAAUUUUGGGAUGGAGGUAGGAUAUG
Molecule: non-coding RNA, 135 nt
Organism: Triticum aestivum (bread wheat)
Lineage: Eukaryota; Viridiplantae; Streptophyta; Magnoliopsida; Poales; Poaceae
Source: Rfam